Molecule: ribosomal RNA, 500 nt
Filed under: uncultured bacterium
Lineage: Bacteria
Description: partial 16S ribosomal RNA
Rfam family: Bacterial small subunit ribosomal RNA
Source: RNAcentral
AUUGAACGCUGGCGGAAUGCUUUACACAUGCAAGUCGAACGGCAGCACGGGGGCAACCCUGGUGGCGAGUGGCGAACGGGUGAGUAAUACAUCGGAACGUGCCCAGUCGUGGGGGAUAACGUAGCGAAAGUUACGCUAAUACCGCAUACGAUCUACGGAUGAAAGCGGGGGACCGUAAGGCCUCGCGCGAUUGGAGCGGCCGAUGUCAGAUUAGGUAGUUGGUGAGGUAAAGGCUCACCAAGCCGACGAUCUGUAGCUGGUCUGAGAGGACGACCAGCCACACUGGGACUGAGACCCGGCCCAGACUCAUACGGGAGGCAGCAGUGGGGAAUUUUGGACGAUGGGCUCAAGCCUGAUCCAGCCAUUCCGCGUGCAGGACGAAGUCCUUCGGGUUGUAAACUGCUUUUGUACGGAACGAAAAGGCUCUGGUUAAUACCUGGGGCUCAUGACGGUACCGUAAGAAUAAGCACCGGCUAACUACGUGCCAGCAGCCGCCGCCG